This 576-nucleotide ribosomal RNA is filed under the name uncultured marine eukaryote. Its description in RNAcentral is "SSU rRNA". It matches the Rfam family "Eukaryotic small subunit ribosomal RNA", at positions 613 to 1190 of the family's 1831-position model. The record is from RNAcentral.
UUGUGGUUAAAAAGCUCGUAGUUGGAUCUCAACAGCCUUGAAGCGGUUAACUUUGUAGUUUUACUGCUUUAUAGGCUGUGCUUUUGCUGGAGGUUUAGGGGUGCUCUUGAUCGAGUGUCUCUGGAUGCCAGCAGGUUUACUUUGAAAAAAUUAGAGUGCUCAAAGCAGGCUAAAAUGCCUGAAUAUUCGUGCACGGAAUAAUAGAAUAGGAUGUCGAUCCUAUUUUGUUGGUUUUCGGGACUCGACAUAAUGAUAAAUAGGGACAGUCGGGGGCAUUUGUAUUCAAACGACAGAGGUGAAAUUCUUGGACCGUUUGAAGACAAACUACUGCGAAAGCAUUUGCCAAGAAUGUUUUCAUUAAUCAAGAACGAAAGUUAGUGGUUCGAAGGCGAUUAGAUACCGCCCUAGUUCUAACCAUAAACGAUGCCAGCUAGCGAUCUGCCUGCGUUUUUACUGUAGACUGGGCAGGAAGCUUCCGGGAAACCAAAGCAUUUGGGUUCCAGGGGAAGUAUGGUUGCAAAGCUGAAACUUAAAGGAAUUGACGGAAGGGCACCACCAGGAGUGGAGCCUGUGGCU